GGUUAAGCGACUAAGCGUACACGGUGGAUGCCCUGGCAGUCAGAGGCGAUGAAGGACGUGCUAAUCUGCGAUAAGCGUCGGUAAGGUGAUAUGAACCGUUAUAACCGGCGAUUUCCGAAUGGGGAAACCCAGUGUGAUUCGUCACACUAUCAUUAACUGAAUCCAUAGGUUAAUGAGGCGAACCGGGGGAACUGAAACAUCUAAGUACCCCGAGGAAAAGAAAUCAACCGAGAUUCCCCCAGUAGCGGCGAGCGAACGGGGAGGAGCCCAGAGCCUGAAUCAGUGUGUGUGUUAGUGGAAGCGUCUGGAAAGGCGCGCGAUACAGGGUGACAGCCCCGUACACAAAAAUGCACAUACUGUGAGCUCGAUGAGUAGGGCGGGACACGUGGUAUCCUGUCUGAAUAUGGGGGGACCAUCCUCCAAGGCUAAAUACUCCUGACUGACCGAUAGUGAACCAGUACCGUGAGGGAAAGGCGAAAAGAACCCCGGCGAGGGGAGUGAAAAAGAACCUGAAACCGUGUACGUACAAGCAGUGGGAGCACAGAGCAAUCUGUGUGACUGCGUACCUUUUGUAUAAUGGGUCAGCGACUUAUAUUCUGUAGCAAGGUUAACCGAAUAGGGGAGCCGAAGGGAAACCGAGUCUUAACCGGGCGUUAAGUUGCAGGGUAUAGACCCGAAACCCGGUGAUCUAGCCAUGGGCAGGUUGAAGGUUGGGUAACACUAACUGGAGGACCGAACCGACUAAUGUUGAAAAAUUAGCGGAUGACUUGUGGCUGGGGGUGAAAGGCCAAUCAAACCGGGAGAUAGCUGGUUCUCCCCGAAAGCUAUUUAGGUAGCGCCUCGUGAAUUCAUCUCCGGGGGUAGAGCACUGUUUCGGCAAGGGGGUCAUCCCGACUUACCAACCCGAUGCAAACUGCGAAUACCGGAGAAUGUUAUCACGGGAGACACACGGCGGGUGCUAACGUCCGUCGUGAAGAGGGAAACAACCCAGACCGCCAGCUAAGGUCCCAAAGUCAUGGUUAAGUGGGAAACGAUGUGGGAAGGCCCAGACAGCCAGGAUGUUGGCUUAGAAGCAGCCAUCAUUUAAAGAAAGCGUAAUAGCUCACUGGUCGAGUCGGCCUGCGCGGAAGAUGUAACGGGGCUAAACCAUGCACCGAAGCUGCGGCAGCGACACUGUGUGUUGUUGGGUAGGGGAGCGUUCUGUAAGCCUGUGAAGGUGUGCUGUGAGGCAUGCUGGAGGUAUCAGAAGUGCGAAUGCUGACAUAAGUAACGAUAAAGCGGGUGAAAAGCCCGCUCGCCGGAAGACCAAGGGUUCCUGUCCAACGUUAAUCGGGGCAGGGUGAGUCGACCCCUAAGGCGAGGCCGAAAGGCGUAGUCGAUGGGAAACAGGUUAAUAUUCCUGUACUUGGUGUUACUGCGAAGGGGGGGACGGAGAAGGCUAUGUUGGCCGGGCGACGGUUGUCCCGGUUUAAGCGUGUAGGCUGGUUUUCCAGGCAAAUCCGGAAAAUCAAGGCUGAGGCGUGAUGACGAGGCACUACGGUGCUGAAGCAACAAAUGCCCUGCUUCCAGGAAAAGCCUCUAAGCAUCAGGUAACAUCAAAUCGUACCCCAAACCGACACAGGUGGUCAGGUAGAGAAUACCAAGGCGCUUGAGAGAACUCGGGUGAAGGAACUAGGCAAAAUGGUGCCGUAACUUCGGGAGAAGGCACGCUGAUAUGUAGGUGAAGUCCCUCGCGGAUGGAGCUGAAAUCAGUCGAAGAUACCAGCUGGCUGCAACUGUUUAUUAAAAACACAGCACUGUGCAAACACGAAAGUGGACGUAUACGGUGUGACGCCUGCCCGGUGCCGGAAGGUUAAUUGAUGGGGUCAGCGCAAGCGAAGCUCUUGAUCGAAGCCCCGGUAAACGGCGGCCGUAACUAUAACGGUCCUAAGGUAGCGAAAUUCCUUGUCGGGUAAGUUCCGACCUGCACGAAUGGCGUAAUGAUGGCCAGGCUGUCUCCACCCGAGACUCAGUGAAAUUGAACUCGCUGUGAAGAUGCAGUGUACCCGCGGCAAGACGGAAAGACCCCGUGAACCUUUACUAUAGCUUGACACUGAACAUUGAGCCUUGAUGUGUAGGAUAGGUGGGAGGCUUUGAAGUGUGGACGCCAGUCUGCAUGGAGCCGACCUUGAAAUACCACCCUUUAAUGUUUGAUGUUCUAACGUGGACCCGUGAUCCGGGUUGCGGACAGUGUCUGGUGGGUAGUUUGACUGGGGCGGUCUCCUCCUAAAGAGUAACGGAGGAGCACGAAGGUUGGCUAAUCCUGGUCGGACAUCAGGAGGUUAGUGCAAUGGCAUAAGCCAGCUUGACUGCGAGCGUGACGGCGCGAGCAGGUGCGAAAGCAGGUCAUAGUGAUCCGGUGGUUCUGAAUGGAAGGGCCAUCGCUCAACGGAUAAAAGGUACUCCGGGGAUAACAGGCUGAUACCGCCCAAGAGUUCAUAUCGACGGCGGUGUUUGGCACCUCGAUGUCGGCUCAUCACAUCCUGGGGCUGAAGUAGGUCCCAAGGGUAUGGCUGUUCGCCAUUUAAAGUGGUACGCGAGCUGGGUUUAGAACGUCGUGAGACAGUUCGGUCCCUAUCUGCCGUGGGCGCUGGAGAACUGAGGGGGGCUGCUCCUAGUACGAGAGGACCGGAGUGGACGCAUCACUGGUGUUCGGGUUGUCAUGCCAAUGGCACUGCCCGGUAGCUAAAUGCGGAAGAGAUAAGUGCUGAAAGCAUCUAAGCACGAAACUUGCCCCGAGAUGAGUUCUCCCUGACCCUUUAAGGGUCCUGAAGGAACGUUGAAGACGACGACGUUGAUAGGCCGGGUGUGUAAGCGCAGCGAUGCGUUGAGCUAACCGGUACUAAUGAACCGUGAGGCUUAACCUU
This 2906-nucleotide ribosomal RNA is filed under the name Escherichia coli O157:H7 str. EC508. RNAcentral describes it as "bacterial LSU rRNA". It matches the Rfam family "Bacterial large subunit ribosomal RNA". The record is from RNAcentral. Lineage: Bacteria; Pseudomonadati; Pseudomonadota; Gammaproteobacteria; Enterobacterales; Enterobacteriaceae.